AUGAACGCUGGCGGCGUGCCUAAUACAUGCAAGUCGAGCGAACAGACGAGGAGCUUGCUCCUCUGACGUUAGCGGCGGACGGGUGAGUAACACGUGGAUAACCUACCUAUAAGACUGGGAUAACUUCGGGAAACCGGAGCUAAUACCGGAUAAUAUAUUGAACCGCAUGGUUCAAUAGUGAAAGACGGUUUUGCUGUCACUUAUAGAUGGAUCCGCGCCGCAUUAGCUAGUUGGUAAGGUAACGGCUUACCAAGGCAACGAUGCGUAGCCGACCUGAGAGGGUGAUCGGCCACACUGGAACUGAGACACGGUCCAGACUCCUACGGGAGGCAGCAGUAGGGAAUCUUCCGCAAUGGGUGAAAGCCUGACGGAGCAACGCCGCGUGAGUGAUGAAGGUCUUCGGAUCGUAAAACUCUGUUAUUAGGGAAGAACAAAUGUGUAAGUAACUAUGCACGUCUUGACGGUACCUAAUCAGAAAGCCACGGCUAACUACGUG
This 496-nucleotide ribosomal RNA is filed under the name uncultured bacterium. RNAcentral's name for it is "partial 16S ribosomal RNA". It matches the Rfam family "Bacterial small subunit ribosomal RNA", at positions 29 to 507 of the family's 1533-position model. The record is from RNAcentral.